UACGUAGGUGACCAGCGUUGUCCGGAUUUACUGGGCGUAAAGAGCGCGCAGGCGGUCGUUCAAGUCGAGUGUGAAAGCCCCCGGCUCAACUGGGGAGGGUCAUUCGAUACUGAUCGACUUGAAGGCAGGAGAGGGAAGUGGAAUUCCCGGUGUAGUGGUGAAAUGCGUAGAUAUCGGGAGGAACACCAGUGGCGAAGGCGGUUACCUGGAGCUUUGCUGACGCUGAUGCGCGAAAGCGUGGGGAGCGAUCCGG
RNAcentral lists this ribosomal RNA (253 nucleotides) under uncultured bacterium. RNAcentral's name for it is "partial 16S ribosomal RNA". It matches the Rfam family "Bacterial small subunit ribosomal RNA", at positions 524 to 776 of the family's 1533-position model. The record is from RNAcentral.